Molecule: non-coding RNA, 94 nt
Filed under: Paenibacillus ihumii
Lineage: Bacteria; Bacillati; Bacillota; Bacilli; Caryophanales; Paenibacillaceae
Description: Cyclic di-GMP-I riboswitch
Rfam family: c-di-GMP-I riboswitch aptamer
About the family: GEMM was predicted in a large-scale screen for bacterial structured RNA regulatory elements. Genes associated with GEMM are involved in a diverse array of functions, including chemotaxis regulation, signal transduction, secretion and chitin.
Source: RNAcentral
UGAUCAGGGCAAACCCAUUGAAAAAUGGGGACGCAAAGCUAAAGGGGCUAACGGAUUUGCUGCCAUGCAAAUGUUACUGCCAGCCAGCUGCCGA